GCGCCCGUACUCCAGCUGGCUAGAGAGAUGCGGUUUAGGUCCGCAGUGUCGUGGGUUCGAGUCCCACCGGGCGUAC
This 76-nucleotide transfer RNA is filed under the name Kitasatospora xanthocidica. RNAcentral describes it as "tRNA-Leu". It matches the Rfam family "tRNA". From Rfam's summary of the family: Transfer RNA (tRNA) molecules are approximately 80 nucleotides in length. Their secondary structure includes four short double-helical elements and three loops (D, anti-codon, and T loops). The record is from RNAcentral. Lineage: Bacteria; Bacillati; Actinomycetota; Actinomycetes; Kitasatosporales; Streptomycetaceae.